This 150-nucleotide non-coding RNA is filed under the name Sporomusa acidovorans. Lineage: Bacteria; Bacillati; Bacillota; Negativicutes; Selenomonadales; Sporomusaceae. The record is from RNAcentral.
GAAAACCCUGUAACGGACUGAAUACCGGCAGACCGUCCCUAAUACUCCGGCGUGCGUUAUGUGAGGUAUCCACAUAAGGUGCGAAGCCCGGUGAAGUCGGCGAAACGUAGACCUGCGAAGCGGUUAGCAAAGUAGUCGGGGGGCUAUAAA